Molecule: non-coding RNA, 29 nt
Filed under: Mus musculus (house mouse)
Lineage: Eukaryota; Metazoa; Chordata; Mammalia; Rodentia; Muridae
Source: RNAcentral
UCAUCCUUUGCAGCAAUGGUUCCAGUAUU